RNAcentral lists this unclassified non-coding RNA (257 nucleotides) under Hevea brasiliensis (rubber tree). Lineage: Eukaryota; Viridiplantae; Streptophyta; Magnoliopsida; Malpighiales; Euphorbiaceae. The record is from RNAcentral.
AUUUAUAGGUGGCAUUAUUUAUUUAUGUUUUUAAUAUGCUAAGUCUGCUUCAAUCUGAGCAAUAUAGAUUUUUAAUCUCUUGAUUUUUUAUUAUUUUUUAUCAAAUUAUUGACCAAAUCUUUUUUGUUCUAUGGGAGUUCUGACAUCUGUAUCAAGCUGAUUGAUUCUGGACUGAAGAGCUACAUAAAGCUUAGCUAUUUGAGCUAAGAGUGAAUCUGCCUUUGUUUCUAUCAACUAAGUUUGGUUGACGACUGAAU